RNAcentral lists this ribosomal RNA (492 nucleotides) under Epinephelus coeruleopunctatus (whitespotted grouper). RNAcentral describes it as "partial 16S ribosomal RNA". It matches the Rfam family "Bacterial large subunit ribosomal RNA", at positions 1946 to 2590 of the family's 2925-position model. Lineage: Eukaryota; Metazoa; Chordata; Actinopteri; Perciformes; Serranidae. The record is from RNAcentral.
CCGUGCGAAGGUAGCGCAAUCACUUGUCUCUUAAAUGGGGACCUGUAUGAAUGGCAUAACGAGGGCUUGACUGUCUCCUCUUUCAAGUCAAUGAAAUUGAUCUCCCCGUGCAGAAGCGGGGAUUACCACAUUAGAACGAGAGACCCUAUGGAGCUUCAGACACUAAAGCAGACCAGCAUUAAUACCCUGAACAUAGGGCACGAAUCAACUGAUCCCUGCCCUAAUGUCUUUGGUUGGGGCGACCGCGGAGAAACACAAAACCCCCGCAAGGACCGAAUGUACUACAUUCACAACCAAGAGCGACAGCUCUAUUUACCAGAACUUCUGACCAAUAAGAUCCGGCAAUGCCGAUUAAUGAACCGAGUUACCCUAGGAUAACAGCGCAAUCUCCUCUUAGAGCCCAUAUCGGCCCAGGAGGUUUACGAACUCGAUGUUAGAUCAGACAUCCUAAUGGUGCAGCCGCUAUUAAAGGGUUCGUUUGUUCAACGAUUA